AUUGAACGCUGGCGGCAGGCCUAACACAUGCAAGUCGAGCGGAUGAAGGGAGCUUGCUCCUGGAUUCAGCGGCGGACGGGUGAGUAAUGCCUAGGAAUCUGCCUGGUAGUGGGGGAUAACGUCCGGAAACGGGCGCUAAUACCGCAUACGUCCUGAGGGAGAAAGUGGGGGAUCUUCGGACCUCACGCUAUCAGAUGAGCCUAGGUCGGAUUAGCUAGUUGGUGGGGUAAAGGCCUACCAAGGCGACGAUCCGUAACUGGUCUGAGAGGAUGAUCAGUCACACUGGAACUGAGACACGGUCCAGACUCCUACGGGAGGCAGCAGUGGGGAAUAUUGGACAAAGGGCGAAAGCCUGAUCCAGCCGUGCCGCGUGUGUGAAGAAGGUCUUCGGAUUGUAAAGCACUUUAAGUUGGGAGGAAGGGCAGUAAGUUAAUACCUUGCUGUUUUGACGUUACCAACAGAAUAAGCACCGGCUAACUUCGUG
RNAcentral lists this ribosomal RNA (484 nucleotides) under uncultured bacterium. RNAcentral describes it as "partial 16S ribosomal RNA". It matches the Rfam family "Bacterial small subunit ribosomal RNA", at positions 30 to 507 of the family's 1533-position model. The record is from RNAcentral.